GCUGGCGGUAUGCUUACACAUGCAGUCGAACGGAGUAGCAUACUUAGUGGCGGACGGGUGAGUACGCGUAAGAAUCUAGCUUCAGGUUCGGGACACAAUUGGAAACGAUUGCUAAUACCGGAUAUGCCUACGGGUAAAAGGCUUGCUGCCUGAAGAAGAGCUUGCGUCCGAUUAGCUAGUUGGUGGGGUAAAGGCUUACCAAGGCGGCGAUCGGUAGCUGGUCUGAGAGGAUGACCAGCCACACUGGGACUGAGACAAAGCCCAAACUCCUACGGGAGGCAGCAGUGGGGAAUUUUCCGCAAUGGGCGAAAGCCUGACGGAGCAAUACCGCGUGAGGGAAGAAGGCUCUUGGGUUGUAAACCUCUUUUCUCAGGGAAUAAAAAAAUGAAGGUACCUGAGGAAUAAGCAUCGGCUAACUCCGUGCCAGCAGCCGCGGUAAUACGGAGGAUGCAAGCGUUAUCCGGAAUGAUUGGGCGUAAAGCGUCCGCAGGUGGUACAACAAGUCUAGUGUCAAAGACCGGGGCUCAACCCCGGGAAGGCGGUGGAAACUGUUGAACUAGAGGGUCGUAGGGGUAGAGGGAAUUCCCAGUGUAGCGGUGAAAUGCGUAGAGA
Molecule: ribosomal RNA, 612 nt
Filed under: uncultured cyanobacterium
Lineage: Bacteria; Bacillati; Cyanobacteriota
Description: bacterial SSU rRNA
Rfam family: Bacterial small subunit ribosomal RNA
Source: RNAcentral